AAUGAUUUUGUUCAAUGAAUUACUUUUAGUGAUACUAGAAACUCAUAGUCCUAAAAGAAAAAAAAAUCCAGAUCUCAGGAUUUUGGUUUGAGCUGGCUUUUUAGAAAUGUCACUGUCCUACACUGCUAGAAGUAGUGCCUGAAAUGACUGAAAUGUGAGCAGUAAAAAUGGACAAACUGUUCUUUUACAAACACAAGACUCUAGGAGGCUUUUAAGUCUUUCCCCAAGUUUGAACUUGGCUAUGCCUGCUUGGUUGACACUCUACCACUUGAGCCACACCUCUAGCUAGCUUUUUGCUGGUUAUUUUGGAGAUGGAGCCUUGUGGACUUUCUGGCCAGGGCUGAGUUUGGAUCUUGAUCUUCCAGAUCUCAUCUUCCUGAGUAGCUAGGAUUACAGGCCUGAGCCACCAGCCUGGCCUCAUACAUGUUAUUUGACAAUACUAAUUCCAUGAUGUGGACGAGGUAGUAGACAGGACUAUGGGUCACAAAGUAGAUGCUGGAGUUUCUGAUCCAACUGUCAUAGUUACAAUAAAUGCAAUAUGUGUGUCCAGGUGUGGGAGAGGGAGAG
Perognathus longimembris pacificus (Pacific pocket mouse) is the source of this 567-nucleotide long non-coding RNA. RefSeq lists it as uncharacterized. The transcript is spliced from 3 exons. The record is from RefSeq and is a predicted model, not a curated record. Lineage: Eukaryota; Metazoa; Chordata; Mammalia; Rodentia; Heteromyidae.